CCUACGGGCGGCAGCAGUGAGGAAUAUUGGUCAAUGGACGAGAGUCUGAACCAGCCAAGUAGCGUGAAGGAUGACUGCCCUAUGGGUUGUAACCUUCUUUUAUAAAGGAAUAAAACGAGGCACGUGUGCCUUUUUGCAUGUACUUUAUUAAUAAGGAUCGGCUAACUCUGUGCCAGCAGCCGCGGUAAUACGGAGGCUCCGAGCGUUAUCCGGAUUUAUUGGGUUUAAGGGGAGCGUAGAUGGGUUGUUAAGUCAGUUGUGAAAGUUUGCGGCUCAACCGUAAAAUUGCAAUUGAUACUGGCAGUCUUGAGUACAGUUGAGGUAGGCGGAAUUCGUGGUGUAGCGGUGAAAUGCUUAGAUAUCACGAAGAACCCCGAUUGCGAAGGCAGCUUACUAAACUGUGACUGACAUUGAUGCUCGAAAGUGUGGGUAUCAAACAGGAUUAGAUACCCGAGUAGUC
This 460-nucleotide ribosomal RNA is filed under the name uncultured bacterium. RNAcentral describes it as "partial 16S ribosomal RNA". It matches the Rfam family "Bacterial small subunit ribosomal RNA", at positions 338 to 795 of the family's 1533-position model. The record is from RNAcentral.